UACGGAAGGCAGCAGUGGGGAAUAUUGCACAAUGGGCGCAAGCCUGAUGCAGCCAUGCCGCGUGUAUGAAGAAGGCCUUCGGGUUGUAAAGUACUUUCAGUCGUGAGGAAGGUGUUAAGGUUAAUAACCUUAGCAAUUGACGUUAGCGACAGAAGAAGCACCGGCUAACUCCGUGCCAGCAGCCGCGGUAAUACGGAGGGUGCGAGCGUUAAUCGGAAUUACUGGGCGUAAAGGGCACGCAGGCGGUUAAUUAAGUUGGAUGUGAAAUCCCCGGGCUUAACCUGGGAAUGGCAUUCAAGACUGGUUAGCUAGAGUCUUGUAGAGGGGGUAGAAUUCCAUGUGUAGCGGUGAAAUGCGUAGAGAUGUGGAGGAAUACCGGUGGCGAAGGCGGCCCCUGGACAAAGACUGACGCUCAUGUGCGAAAGCGUGGGGAGCAAACAGGAUUAGAUA
RNAcentral lists this ribosomal RNA (450 nucleotides) under uncultured bacterium. RNAcentral describes it as "bacterial SSU rRNA". It matches the Rfam family "Bacterial small subunit ribosomal RNA", at positions 340 to 784 of the family's 1533-position model. The record is from RNAcentral.